This 207-nucleotide ribosomal RNA is filed under the name uncultured bacterium. RNAcentral describes it as "partial 16S ribosomal RNA". It matches the Rfam family "Bacterial small subunit ribosomal RNA", at positions 568 to 774 of the family's 1533-position model. The record is from RNAcentral.
CGCGUAGGCGGUUUGGUAAGUCGGAUGUGAAAGCCCCGGGCUUAACCUGGGAAUUGCAUUCGAUACUGUCAGGCUAGAGUCUGGGAGAGGGAUGCGGAAUUCCGGGUGUAGCGGUGAAAUGCGUAGAUAUCCGGAGGAACACCAGUGGCGAAGGCGGCAUCCUGGCCUAAGACUGACGCUGAGGUGCGAAAGCGUGGGGAGCAAACA